UUUACGGAGAGUUUGAUCCUGGCUCAGGACGAACGCUGGCGGCGUGCUUAACACAUGCAAGUCGAACGAUGAUGCCCAGCUUGCUGGGUGGAUUAGUGGCGAACGGGUGAGUAACACGUGAGUAACCUGCCCCUGACUCUGGGAUAAGCGUUGGAAACGACGUCUAAUACUGGAUAUGAUCACUGGCCGCAUGGUCUGGUGGUGGAAAGAUUUUUUGGUUGGGGAUGGACUCGCGGCCUAUCAGCUUGUUGGUGAGGUAAUGGCUCACCAAGGCGACGACGGGUAGCCGGCCUGAGAGGGUGACCGGCCACACUGGGACUGAGACACGGCCCAGACUCCUACGGGAGGCAGCAGUGGGGAAUAUUGCACAAUGGGCGAAAGCCUGAUGCAGCAACGCCGCGUGAGGGAUGACGGCCUUCGGGUUGUAAACCUCUUUUAGUAGGGAAGAAGCGAAAGUGACGGUACCUGCAGAAAAAGCACCGGCUAACUACGUGCCAGCAGCCGCGGUAAUACGUAGGGUGCAAGCGUUGUCCGGAAUUAUUGGGCGUAAAGAGCUCGUAGGCGGUUUGUCGCGUCUGCUGUGAAAUCCCGAGGCUCAACCUCGGGCUUGCAGUGGGUACGGGCAGACUAGAGUGCGGUAGGGGAGAUUGGAAUUCCUGGUGUAGCGGUGGAAUGCGCAGAUAUCAGGAGGAACACCGAUGGCGAAGGCAGAUCUCUGGGCCGUAACUGACGCUGAGGAGCGAAAGCAUGGGGAGCGAACAGGAUUAGAUACCCUGGUAGUCCAUGCCGUAAACGUUGGGCGCUAGAUGUAGGGACCUUUCCACGGUUUCUGUGUCGUAGCUAACGCAUUAAGCGCCCCGCCUGGGGAGUACGGCCGCAAGGCUAAAACUCAAAGGAAUUGACGGGGGCCCGCACAAGCGGCGGAGCAUGCGGAUUAAUUCGAUGCAACGCGAAGAACCUUACCAAGGCUUGACAUACACCGGAAACGGCCAGAGAUGGUCGCCCCCUUGUGGUCGGUGUACAGGUGGUGCAUGGUUGUCGUCAGCUCGUGUCGUGAGAUGUUGGGUUAAGUCCCGCAACGAGCGCAACCCUCGUUCUAUGUUGCCAGCGGGUUAUGCCGGGGACUCAUAGGAGACUGCCGGGGUCAACUCGGAGGAAGGUGGGGAUGACGUCAAAUCAUCAUGCCCCUUAUGUCUUGGGCUUCACGCAUGCUACAAUGGCCGGUACAAAGGGCUGCGAUACCGUAAGGUGGAGCGAAUCCCAAAAGCCGGUCUCAGUUCGGAUUGAGGUCUGCAACUCGACCUCAUGAAGUCGGAGUCGCUAGUAAUCGCAGAUCAGCAACGCUGCGGUGAAUACGUUCCCGGGCCUUGUACACACCGCCCGUCAAGUCAUGAAAGUCGGUAACACCCGAAGCCGGUGGCCUAACCCUUGUGGAAGGAGCCGUCGAAGGUGGGAUCGGUGAUUAGGACUAAGUCGUAACAAGGUAGCCGUACCGGAAGGUGCGGCUGGAUCACCUCCUUU
RNAcentral lists this ribosomal RNA (1521 nucleotides) under Curtobacterium sp. 24E2. Its description in RNAcentral is "bacterial SSU rRNA". It matches the Rfam family "Bacterial small subunit ribosomal RNA". The record is from RNAcentral. Lineage: Bacteria; Bacillati; Actinomycetota; Actinomycetes; Micrococcales; Microbacteriaceae.